Molecule: long non-coding RNA, 1021 nt
Organism: Gallus gallus (chicken)
Lineage: Eukaryota; Metazoa; Chordata; Aves; Galliformes; Phasianidae
Exons: 3
Source: RefSeq, a predicted model, not a curated record
CCUAAGUAUACUCCAAGAACACGCACCAGAUACAAUUCAAUCAGAAACUUAGGCAGAAAAGUACUUAAUUCUUUGAUCUCAUGUGGAAUUUAGCAGCAUAAGGUGGCAAGUUUCUGAACGUGACAUAGUACUGCAAACGCACUACAGCACAAUAUCUUUAAAAUGCAAAUUUGAACAGUGAAUUGUAUGCAGUCAAGAAGCAGCUGGAAUACACAAAGCUUUCUGAAAGGACCCUCUGGGUGGCAUUUCUCUAAUGAACAGUGAACUUGCUUUCCUAAGCUGUGUCAGAUUGUUACAAAGAAGACAAAGGAACUGUGCAUGCCUGGAUAUAAACUGACUCAGAUACUUCUCCAAAUAAUUAAGAGAGUUAACUAUUCACAGAUGGGCUCCUCCUUCUGUAACUUGACUCUGGAAUUCCUCCUGUAUGGCUGAAUACUCUGCUGAUAUUUUGUUUUCUUAAACUGAAGUUUCCAACCAGCUUUGUCUCUGCAAGAGGAGGGCUUUACGAUCACAGCAAUUAAUAUCUACAUAAAGCUUUAUAUCAUCAAAGUCAAUAAAAUACCUAAAAUGUCAAAAAAUGUUACUAUAUUAGUAUUUCAGGUUGAAGGUGCAAGAAAAGGUGUUCCAUAAUUUUGUUAGAACUUUCAGCCAAGCAGAUGGAUCAAAUUGUAAAGAAUAAAGGACUCCUUCUUACAAUGACUUUUUUCUUUUUAUUAGGAUGACCAGCUCUGUAGAGUUCUGUUGUCCAGGAAUUCAGUUUAUUAAACCUGUUAAGCCAAUAUUUUGUCCCCAGGUCAGCCUAGAUGUAAUUAGCAUCCUAGAAAAUCUGAUCUCUGAAGUGUAUAACAGAUAAAAACAUAUAUAUAUAUCUGAAGAUAAACAUACAUUUUGUAUUUUCCACAUUUUGUCCUGAUCUUUUGCAGCACUUAAUGUUCACACUUAAAAUAGAGAACACUUCAGUGAAAAGACAUGGUUCCAACUGUGACAAAGUGCUAGUGAAUAAAGUUGAUUAAACCAGUGC